ACAGAGCCAGGAAAAGGGGGCGGAGAAAGUGUGUGUGCGCAGGAGAGGAGUCGAGCAGAGAGAGCUGCUUUUUUAUGAAACGGUUGUAAAGUAGUAAACUUACAGGAACAUAUGCCACUACCAACGUUUGGAUCGAUAUCUGCAUCUAUCUGCACACCCUUGUCUCCUGGAUCCUAGCUGAGAUCAGCGUGAACCACGUGGGUCUCUGCUCUCUGAUCUGUUUCCUGUGUUUGGAAAGAGUUCCAGCUUCAUCACGGAGUUUCUCUCGGUUUGUGGGCUCGUGUAAAGCUGAAUAACAGGAGUAGUCUGCUGGAGCAGCAGAGGAACAAUUUUGGACUCAGCUCAGCCACUACAGAGGAAAGAAUGUCUUCAACACAAAAGGACCAACAUGGAGCGAGAAGUCAGCGCUCUCAGGAGGCCGACAAACCUCACAGAAGAAAGGGAGAGAAAACCUACAGCUGUGAUGAGUGUGGAAAGUCUUUUACCCACUCUGGACACUUAAAAAUACACCAACUCAUCCACAGUGGAGUUAAACCGUAUAGCUGUGACUUGUGUGGAAAGUCUUUUACCGAGGCUGGAUCCUUAAAAAAACACCAAGUCAUCCACAGUGGAGUUAAACCUUAUAGCUGUGAGUUGUGUGGAAAGUCUUUUACUCAGUCUGGAGGCUUAAAAACACACCAACUCAUCCACAGUGGAGUUAAAGCUCACAGCUGUGACUUGUGUGGAAAGUCUUUUACCCAGGCUGGAGAAUUAAAAACACACAGACUCGUCCACACUGGAUUUAAAGCGUACAACUGUCACUUGUGUGGAAAGUCUUUUACCCACGCUCAAAGCUUUAAAACACACCAACUCAUCCACAGUGGAGUUAAACCUUACAGCUGCAACUUGUGUGGAAAGUCUUUUACCCAUCGUAAAUGCUUAAAAUUACACCAUAUCAUGCACAGUGGAGUUAAAGCACACAGCUGUGAUUUGUGUGGCAAGACGUUUGCUCAAAAUAGCAGCUUACAGAAGCAUCUAGUUACCCACUCUGGAAUUAAGGCGUACAGCUGCGACUUUUGUGGAAAAAGGUUCAGAGACAAACAGUACCGAAAUAGUCACCUACGGAUUCACACUGGAAAUGAUCUUUACUGCUGUGAUCAGUGUGGGAAACCGUUUACAACAGAUGCACAGCUACAACAACACAUGUUUAGCCACACUGAGGAGAGACCUUACAAAUGUGACCUGUGUGAGAAGACUUUUAAAGCUCCAAAUCAGCUGAAAAAGCACCAACAGAUCCACACCAGAAAGUAACUCUACAAGUGCAGUUACUGUGAGGAUGUAUUGAUUUUUUAUCUUGUAAUUUUAACCUGAUUGUUUG
Long non-coding RNA from Haplochromis burtoni (Burton's mouthbrooder), 1357 nucleotides. RefSeq lists it as uncharacterized. The record is from RefSeq and is a predicted model, not a curated record. The transcript has 3 exons. NCBI's taxonomy places the organism in Eukaryota, Metazoa, Chordata, Actinopteri, Cichliformes, Cichlidae.